This is a long non-coding RNA of Limulus polyphemus (Atlantic horseshoe crab), 1257 nucleotides long. RefSeq lists it as uncharacterized. NCBI's taxonomy places the organism in Eukaryota, Metazoa, Arthropoda, Merostomata, Xiphosura, Limulidae. The transcript has 3 exons. The record is from RefSeq and is a predicted model, not a curated record.
CCCCGGACUAUAUUCCCACUGUUUUCUCUCAUAAAGUCACCCCAGAAGAAAAUAGCAGCGAAAAAUAUGGCGAAGUUUCAUCUAAGCCAGGCAAUGAAAGAAAAGGAAGUCGUGAGGAGUGAUUUCUGGUAGUGAUGCGGCUGCGCCUCUCACGACGUUUAUUUCCACCAUUUAUAUUUCAAUAAUUCAUAUGCAACAGUAGGCUUGCCAACCCUCUCGGAUUCGCGGGGAGUAUUCCGGAAUCGUAUCGUCACAUUUAUUUACGUGUGGCCCAAUUUCAUGAGCGAUGCCAGUAAUCUAUCACGUGGUACGUCAGCCAUAGCAAGAGUGAAAGAUAACUCACGUGUUGUAGUCCAAUUAACAUCGAUCUUUUGUUUACAUUUUUGUUCUUACAUUUUUCUUUUUAUAAUUGCCAUGGAUAGUGUUGAAAAAUAUAAAAAAGGUGGAGGCAGUUCUUGUGCCGUUAAUGGUUGUUCAAAUAAUCGACGCUAACUGAAUAUAUGGAAGGAAUCUAUGUGUAAAAUACACGGCCAAUUGCAUAAAGACUGUGCGUGUUUAAUUCCGUUUAAAUUUCAUUCUGUACCGUCAUAUGAGCCAACAAAACUUGAAUGGAUUAAAGCUAUUAACCGAAAAACAUUACCGAAGAAAGUGUACGUUUGUUCCGAGCACGUUUUAGAUGGAAUGCCGACGGAGAUAAACCCAUACCCAAAGAUAAAAUUAGGUUAUGAAACUAAAGCAACACCCGGUCGGCGAAAACUGCUGAAACAUUCACAAAGUCCAAGUGUUAAAAAAAGUAAAUUGGCAAGCAGCAGUGGCGAUCAAAAUGAGGAAACAUACGAUUUCGUGCAAAGUGAAUUAGACAGUUCGAUUGAUGAAACAAGUACUAUUAUUUCCGAUAGCAUUUGUGAUAAUUGAGUUACUGAAACAGCAACUUCGUUUACACAGUACGACGAAUUGGACCUUAAACUUCGCAAUGACCAUUGUUAUGCACAAGAAUGGACAGACGUUCAAAGAAGAUAAUUUCUCUUCAUCGAAAGACAACAACCGAAGUUACAACAAAUAAUUAAAAGUUGGCACAGGUAGAAAAUCUGGAACCAGGUACUUGAUGUGAAAAAUCCUUGAUUCUGUUUAGUCUAACUACAAAUUUUGGAACCAUGGAAGUAUUGAAGGUGAAGGAUGAAUACUUUUCUGAUGAGGAGCAAGAUGCUCUGUUGGAUAUCAAAUUGAUGAAAAAUGAAGAGACAUUUACAUUACCUG